Molecule: ribosomal RNA, 301 nt
Filed under: uncultured bacterium
Lineage: Bacteria
Description: partial 16S ribosomal RNA
Rfam family: Bacterial small subunit ribosomal RNA
Source: RNAcentral
CAGCCGCCGCGGUAAUACGUAGGGUGCGAGCGUUAAUCGGAAUUACUGGGCGUAAAGCGUGCGCAGGCGGUUUGUUAAGACAGAUGUGAAAUCCCCGGGCUUAACCUGGGAACUGCAUUUGUGACUGGCCGGCUAGAGUAUGGCAGAGGGAGGUGGAAUUCCACGUGUAGCAGUGAAAUGCGUAGAUAUGUGGAGGAACACCGAUGGCGAAGGCAGCCUCCUGGGCUAAUACUGACGCUCAUGCACGAAAGCGUGGGGAGCAAACAGGAUUAGAUACCCCCGUAGUCCCUGUCUCUUAUAC